Passer domesticus (house sparrow) is the source of this 2146-nucleotide long non-coding RNA. RefSeq lists it as uncharacterized. The record is from RefSeq and is a predicted model, not a curated record. The transcript is spliced from 4 exons. Lineage: Eukaryota; Metazoa; Chordata; Aves; Passeriformes; Passeridae.
GCAAUGAAUAUUCUGGGAAUAUCUGUUUUUUCUUGGGAUUCAGCCAUGUCCAAAUGGCUCUGUCUGCACCAGCACCUCCCAGCUUGAUUAGUGAAGUCUGAGCCCAUCCAGGAGUCAGCAGGGCCACCCCAACCCAAAACCUUGGAGGAGCUGAACCAACACCAGGAAGGGCAUUAAAAUCCUCCAGUUCUGGCUGCUGUGAGGGGAAGAACCACCAGAAAUUCAACAUGUUUCCCAUCUGUUCUGCUCCAGGCUGCUUUGUGAACUCCUCUUCCCAUCCCAGAGACAAAAGGACCAGUCACCAUUUUGCUUUCCAGGCGAUGUGAAGAAAAGGGAGUUACUGAAGCCCUUUCCUCUUUAGAGGAAAUGGUCAUUCCAGGACAUUUUCUCCUGAAAUUUGCCUCCAAGACUGAAACACCCCACAGGGUGAAAUGCUGCAUAAAUACCCAGCUGGAGAUUGCUGCUGUGCCAAAGGGCUGUGGCACAGAAGAUCAGGACAGGAAAAGAUGGGAAGGAAACAGAGGUCUUGCACAUGGAAAAAGUUGUUGAUCACUAAACACCUGGACUGAUCUCAUCUUGCUGUGCCCUCUCCCAGCUGAAGAGAGCAGCUUCUUCUGGAAGAAGCUUUACAAAUCUGAGCUGAACAAGUGCUGCUGUGAGUCACAGGGAGUUUGUCAUCUCCCAGGCUGUGAGGCACAGCUAAAACAAGAACAGAGGGCUCCUAAAAGUGGCUGAAAGGCCUCUGCUCUGUGAAUAGAGCCAGGAAAUAACAGCCAUAUCAAGUGUUAUUAGGGGCCAAAGGAGGGGUGUCAGAGGGAACAAGAGCACAAACAGCCUGUGUGUGCUGGUCUGCCUCCACCAGGAUGAUUUCCAUGGUCACCCAGACAGGUCAAGAGAUGUGUCUGCACUUUUGUGCCUGUCAGCCUCCAGCAUCCCUCAGUCUCUCAAGUGAGAGGAAGGAAAAUGAUGUAGGGGGGAAAGAAAAGGAAACAGUGAAACAGUACUUGGAAUCACACCAACCAGAAAGGAUUUUUUAACAUUGUGCUGAUCAAUGAAGUGAAGUGACUGGCUUACCACAGUGCUAUGAAUUUGUUUAAAAUCAGAACUCAUUUUGUAAUCUCCUUCUUUCCACAGAAGUGCCAUUUGUCAGAAUAUAAAAAAAAAAAUCCAAGUGAAGUUUAGGUUCCACUUCAUUCUGAGGUCAUUUCCAGCCAGGAUUCAUUUGUGGGCUGAGUUGAUCAGAAAUUUUCCAAAAUAUAAUGGCUGUUUCCACAUAAACAUCUACUUCCUGAAGCAAACAUGUCUGAUAGGGAAAAAAAAAAAGAAAGCAUAUUUCCCUGAAAAUUCAGCUCUAGGAGGAGUCUGGCCCAACAAAUGGCACAGUUAUAAUAUUGUUCCUCCAUUACAAUUGCCUCAGAAUCAUUACUCUUGUAUUUCAUCCUCAGCUGAUUAGUCCCUCAGCUCAAUUGCUUUGAAACAAAUAAAAUACCAUCUAUUUGUGUUUUUGCUUCUGUGGGGAAAAAAUCUGCUUAUUGUGGUAAACUAAAUAGAUUGGUUUUGUCUGUGCAGGGUUUUGUUUUAAAGAAUGGAAUAAUUUUGCUGGAACUGAAAUUCGGAUUUUUCAGGCUCUCUAAUGAAAUUCUUCUAUUGUGUGUUGAUUUGCGAAACAGUCUCGACAGCUGAUAUUAAACAGCUCUGGAAGCUUUAACUGAGGUUUGGAAUCAUAGAAUCCCAGAAUGAUUUGGGUUGGAAGAGAUAUUAAAGCUCAUCCCAUCCCACCCCUGCCAUGGCAGGGACACCUCCCACUGUCCCAGGGUGCUCCAAGCCCUGUCCAGCCUGGCCUUGGGCACUGCCAGGGAUCCAGGGGCAGCCCCAGCUGCUCUGGGCACCCUGUGCCAGGGCCUGCCCACCCUCACAGGGAAGGAUUUCUCCCUAAUGUCAAAUCUAAACCUACUCUCUGUGCAUUUGAAGACAUUCCCUCUUGUCCCGUCCCUCCAUCUGUUGUCAAUCUUCUCUCUCCAUCCUGCAGCUCCUUCAGGCCCUGCAAGGCCACACUGGGGUCCCCCCAAAGCUUCUCCUUUCCAGGUGAACAAUCCCAGCUGUGCCAGCCUCUCCUCCCAGCAGAGCUACUCCAUCCUCUGAUCCC